AGGGAAAGAGAUUUAGAAGCCUUCAGCAGAGAGAUGAUGUUUUAAGCCUUAGGAGUGAAUGAAAUUACCCAGAGAACAUGCAUGAUGAGAAGAGAACCUGGAACAGCAGGGGCCAAGAUUUAGGAUCUGUCAGACAACGAGGAGCCCAAGACUGAGACCUGUUAAUCCAAAAUGCACCAUUUUGUAAGCUCCCUGCCAAUAUGCAGACCUUGGUCAAAGUGAAACAUUCCACGAGGGUUCGGGCCAUGAGAACCUGCCUGCCCAACCGCCUGACUUUAACACAUUCUGCUGAGAAAAAGUCCAAGGAACAUCAUUAUUACAUUCUGUGGGAACAAGGCCCCAACUGCCUCAUUGUGGGAACGUCUUCUCAACAUCUUCCCUGGCAGCACGCCAUACUGCCCAGACCCCUCCCUGCCAUACCUACAAGUAUCCCAGCCUGUAAGCAGUGGUGGGCACUGGCAUUAAGCUGGUCCUCCACCUCGGCAGGUUUACCUGGACAUAAAUACCUGCAUUUGCUGUUGAGCCGCCCUCUCGCUCUAUGUGUGUCUUUAACCCUCACCUUCCCUUGGAAACCUAACAAGAAGCAGGAGCCAGGAAGGUAGGAGGAAGACAGAAGCCCAUGGUGUUAAAAACAGCCACAGGAAUUAUGUAGAACAGUGAUUCUCAAAGUGAGGUCCACAAACUCUCGGGGCUCCCAUGACCCUUGUAGGAGGUCCACACAAGCCAAAAUAUCUCUAUAUGGAUACUAAGGUGUUAUUUGUUGAUUUCAUUCUCAUGAGCACAUGAAUGCAGAAUGGAGAUUUCCGGAGGCUACCGGAAAGGUGAUAUUGCAACAAACUGGAGAAACAACAUCAUGAAAUUUCUCCAUUUUAAUUUCUAAUAAAUAUCAAUGUUUAUAAGCAAAAUGGUUUUUUUGGUGGGGUGGUUUUCAACAAUGUAAGGAUAAACAGAUCCUGUGAUCAAAGAGUGAGAACACAGCCAUAGAGAGCUUUACAAAGGGCAUCAGUAUUAAUGUCAAAUGUUACUGAGGCCUCGAGGGAACUAACCAGUCAGAAGCAACCAUCGAAUUUAGUAAUGGACUUCACUCACUUGGUGAAAGCUGUUCCGUGUCAUGGUGGCAGAGACACAGCACAGUGGCUGAGAGUGAGCAGGAGCUGUGGAAGUUGAAUAAUGCCUGAAGGGACCAUUCUUUCUAUCUCAAUGGCGGGAACACCUUCAUGGCCCCUUUAUAGCUGGAUGAUCAUUUCCUGUUCUCUCCACCAUGGCCACCUGGUCCAAGCCACCAUCUUCAUGCACCUGGAUACCUGCCAUAACCUCAGCUGACCUUUCCUGUGUCCAUUCUUGUUCCUUUGGGCCCAGUCUCCUCGCUCAUAGCAGCAGAAUGAGUCUAUUAAAAAGUGAAACAAUUUCUGUCA
RNAcentral lists this long non-coding RNA (1415 nucleotides) under Homo sapiens (human). RNAcentral describes it as "long intergenic non-protein coding RNA 944". The record is from RNAcentral. Lineage: Eukaryota; Metazoa; Chordata; Mammalia; Primates; Hominidae.